This 429-nucleotide ribosomal RNA is filed under the name bacterium. RNAcentral's name for it is "partial 16S ribosomal RNA". It matches the Rfam family "Bacterial small subunit ribosomal RNA", at positions 355 to 776 of the family's 1533-position model. The record is from RNAcentral.
UGGGGAAUAUUGGACAAUGGGCGAAAGCCUGAUCCAGCCAUGCCGCGUGUGUGAAGAAGGUCUUCGGAUUGUAAAGCACUUUAAGUUGGGAGGAAGGGCAGUAAGCGAAUACCUUGCUGUUUUGACGUUACCGACAGAAUAAGCACCGGCUAACUCUGUGCCAGCAGCCGCGGUAAUACAGAGGGUGCAAGCGUUAAUCGGAAUUACUGGGCGUAAAGCGCGCGUAGGUGGUUCGUUAAGUUGGAUGUGAAAGCCCCGGGCUCAACCUGGGAACUGCAUCCAAAACUGGCGAGCUAGAGUAGGGCAGAGGGUGGUGGAAUUUCCUGUGUAGCGGUGAAAUGCGUAGAUAUAGGAAGGAACGCCAGUGGCGGAGGCGACCACCUGGGCUCAUACUGACACUGAGGUGCGAAAGCGUGGGGAGCAAACAGG